This 439-nucleotide ribosomal RNA is filed under the name uncultured bacterium. Its description in RNAcentral is "partial 16S ribosomal RNA". It matches the Rfam family "Bacterial small subunit ribosomal RNA", at positions 339 to 795 of the family's 1533-position model. The record is from RNAcentral.
CUACGGGUGGCAGCAGUGGGGAAUAUUGCACAAUGGAGGAAACUCUGAUGCAGCAACGCCGCGUGGAGGAUGACACAUUUCGGUGCGUAAACUCCUUUUAUAGGUCAAGAUAAUGACGGUAGCCUAUGAAUAAGCGCCGGCUAACUCCGUGCCAGCAGCCGCGGUAAUACGGAGGGCGCAAGCGUUACUCGGAAUCACUGGGCGUAAAGAGCGUGUAGGCGGAUUAAAAAGUCAGAAGUGAAAUCCUAUAGCUUAACUAUAGAACUGCUUCUGAAACUCUUAAUCUAGAAUAUGGGAGAGGUAGAUGGAAUUUCUGGUGUAGGGGUAAAAUCCGUAGAGAUCAGAAGGAAUACCGAUUGCGAAGGCGAUCUACUAGAACAUUAUUGACGCUGAGACGCGAAAGCGUGGGGAGCAAACAGGAUUAGAUACCCCAGUAGUC